GUGCUAUUAACAUUAGUAGUUUCUUAGCCUGUAUUUCAGGCAUAGUGUACUUUUGCUUUUUUUUGCAGGCUACUGCCAUAGUUACUACAAAAUCCCAGGAUUUCCAGUUUAAUUUGUAAAAUCAAAUUUUCCUAAGAGCCAUACACUUUUAUUUUACACAAGCAUGUCUCACUUAUAUUAGCCACAAUGAUGCAGGCCAAGAUCUACAAAAGUACCUGUGUCCAGGUACAGACACUUGCUACUGUUCUCAGUCUACGGUCUUCUGCUGCAUAACAUGGAUUACAUAACAGGAGGCUCAAAUGCAUGCUUGAAUUUUAGAGGAGUAAGUGGCAUAAAAAGAACAUGUGCUUAGGAAGCUGGCAAAAUAUGGCUUUCUGACAUUCAUAUUUGAUUUGUCAGCAUAUUUGAUGUGUAUCAGUGCUUAUGUCAUUUCGUCCUGAUAACACAUCCUGAUAACAUUCACUCAGAGAUAUGCUUCCGAGAAUUGACAUGAUACAGCUUGAGAAGGAAGGAGCAAAGCUCCAUUUUCAUAUUGGAUGGUUUUGCUUCACAGAAAGCAAGAUGUGAUCCUGUUUGACUGCUGGGAUUACAGAUGUACCUUCUAAAGGAGUUACUCUUACAAGACAACGAAAGAGCUCUUCAUCCCAAGCAAAGAGCUGACCUGAGAAGUCCGCAGGAGGAUUAUUUCCUAUUUCAGGGCAACCUACAUGUUCCAUGUAAAUUUUACCAGGAAGUUCACACAAGACAUUGGAUUGGUCAAGAAAUUCUUCUGCUAUGAUUAAGUAGUGAUUUUUGUACUCAAAACCCAAAAUUAAACACAUUGAAAAGCUUCUGGGUGCUAGUCUGCUUUGAUCUUACAAACAUUAUCAUCGUUCAAGGCAUUAGUGAGCCCUUAUAAAUUCACAGUACUGAAUUUCAUUCAUCCAGUUUCAAGAGAGAUGAAUUCAAACUGGAAUGGGUGCAGAGAAGUACUGAUAGAAAUGAUCGACUGAAUGGAAAGCUUAUGUUAUGUUUAAAAUAAAUAAAUAAAUAAAUUGGCUUGUUCA
Molecule: long non-coding RNA, 1046 nt
Filed under: Anas platyrhynchos platyrhynchos (common mallard)
Lineage: Eukaryota; Metazoa; Chordata; Aves; Anseriformes; Anatidae
Description: lncRNA (ENSAPLG00000018605.1)
Source: RNAcentral